UUUCUGGCCCAGAUCGUUUACCGUGAAAAAAUUAGAGUGUUCAAAGCAGGCAGAUCCAAUUUUCUGCCACCGAAUACAUUAGCAUGGGAUAAUGGAAUAGGACCCUGUCCUCCUAUUUUCAGUUGGUUUUGGCAGCGCGAGGACUAGGGUAAUGAUUAAUAGGGAUAGUUGGGGGCAUUAAUAUUUAAUUGUCAGAGGUGAAAUUCUUGGAUUUAUGAAAGAUUAACUUCUGCGAAAGCAUCUGCCAAGGAUGUUUUCAUUAAUCAAGAACGAAAGUUAGGGGAUCGAAGACGAUCAGAUACCGUCGUAGUCUUAACCAUAAACGAUGCCGACCAGCGAUUAGGAGACGUUGAAUACAAAACACCACCAUCGGUUGCGCGGUCAUCCUUGGCGUCUCGGUUUCGGCCGGGGCGCGGGGAUGGCUAGCCCACGUUGAACCCCACA
Molecule: ribosomal RNA, 444 nt
Filed under: Acanthamoeba genotype T4
Lineage: Eukaryota; Discosea; Longamoebia; Acanthamoebidae
Description: SSU rRNA
Rfam family: Eukaryotic small subunit ribosomal RNA
Source: RNAcentral